UGCGGGGGGGGCAAGCGUUGUUCGGAAUUACUGGGCGUAAAGGGCGUGUAGGCGGCCAACUAAGUCCGACGUGAAAUCCCCAGGCUUAACCUGGGAACUGCGUCGGAUACUGGAUGGCUUGAAUCCGGGAGAGGGAUGCAGAAUUCCAGGUGUAGCGGUGAAAUGCGUAGAUAUCUGGAGGAAUACCGGUGGCGAAGGCGGCAUCCUGGACCGGCAUUGACGCUGAAGCGCGAAAGCUAGGGGAGCAAACGGG
This 253-nucleotide ribosomal RNA is filed under the name uncultured bacterium. RNAcentral's name for it is "partial 16S ribosomal RNA". It matches the Rfam family "Bacterial small subunit ribosomal RNA", at positions 524 to 776 of the family's 1533-position model. The record is from RNAcentral.